CCUCUGCUGGGCAUUUCGUCGAGCACUUGGUGUGACCGGAGUUUCACCACUACUUUUCCCGGCUUCCAUAAGGUCGUCUGACUCCAUUUGCCCCUCUGUGCGUCCGCCCCUGUCACUCUGAAAGUUGAAGUAGAGCUACAGUUCUGCAGACCCAUAGAAUUGCAAUGAACAGGAAAAGAGAGCCAGCAAAUAAUGCUACCAACUGGGAGCAUUCUCAUUUGCAAAUGUUUAUGCAAGACUUGGCAAGAUCUAAUUUCGGACCAUGAAUUUGCUAAGCUGCACUUUGCACAAGCAGAGUCCUACCCUUUGGUCCGGCCCUUUAAUCCAACCCGUGUGUCAAGAACCCUUUAUCUGGUCGAGCCUGAAGAUAGCUCUGAUUUUGAUUUCGAGCACAGCAACUGCACGUGUUAUGAUGCCUCUGACUUUCUUUUUAAUGAGUGCAAUGGGCAUCAGUUCCACAUGAAUCUUGCCAAACCAUUGCGCAAUGCUGAGGAAGUACUCAAUACCCACAAUGAUGCCAAUAGGAAAUCUGGAACUAAAAAGAAGCUUUGAUUUAAGGUAUGUCCAGCUGGUCACAAGUAUGAGGUGGUGAAUUCGUGUAACGGAUUGCUUUGCUUGUCUAAACCAUUCAUCAAUGACCCUGUUGUUGUGUGCAACCCAAUAACCGUCCGAAGACUAACCAGUACAAGGUGAUAAGAA
Molecule: long non-coding RNA, 699 nt
Organism: Prunus dulcis (almond)
Lineage: Eukaryota; Viridiplantae; Streptophyta; Magnoliopsida; Rosales; Rosaceae
Exons: 3
Source: RefSeq, a predicted model, not a curated record